UUUUACAUGAAACUUCUGUGGUCCCUUACAGUAUAUCCCUCAAAUAAAGCCACUCAUUACCCAGCUAUCUAACUCCAGUAUAACCUUUUUUUUAAUCUAUUGUGUUACUGACAGUUUAGUUCUACGGCUCUCUAUUUUAGUCUUCUGUUUGGGACUUUAUGAAAAGCUUUCUGAGAAUCCAUAAUGUGUUCAUCCAUUGUUACAUACCCUGUGGGUACCUUGUGACUGUCACAUGACCAUGAUGUAAUUAAGUCUCUGUUGAGCAUGAUGUAACGGUCUUGUGAUGGUGGAGUGAUGUAAUUUUCCGCUAGUGAGAGGUCAUGUGAUGGCCUGUUUCAACAGGUAUAAAAGGGGAAAGCCUUGCUGUGAUGCAGGUCAGUUCAUGGUUUAAUUCGUAAGCGACUUCGUUAUGUUGUGUAUUCGUCUCAUGACGCAGUUUUGUUUUAAAGUGGAGUUUUACUUUCUGCCUUAAGUCUCAAAGGUUACUGCCGGCAGUCUCGCCAGUUUAGUCUAGUCGGAGAGUAAUGAUUUAUGGAAGUACAGAGACCCGAAGGAUUGAGUAAAGUUGGUGUCAUCAUCGGUAAUACAGGAUUGACCUUAUUGAAUCCUCAUUUGGAAGAGAUAGUGACCUGCAUCCAAAAUAGUCCCUGCUAUAACAGCAGAAAAAGCUGGAGCAGGAUUAUUCACCAAGGAAAGGAUCUACUGGGAAAGUCUCAAAGAUCGACCGGUCGAUCGCGAUCGACGGGUUGGCAACCACUAUUCUAGAGAAACACACACAAAGUGCUGGAGGAACUCAGCAGGCCAGGCACCAGCUAUGGAAAAGAGUAGAGUCGAUGUUUUGGGCCAAGACCCUCUGCCAGAUCCUCACGGUCUCUAAUCCAUCUCAUCCACUGCUUCUCAGAUCCAUCCAAGAAAGUAAAUCUGGGCCUGAAGGACAUGUGACACAGGGAGCAGCUUCAAGUAAACACCUAGUUACCUUCCAAAUAGAACUGAAACGGCUGUGGUUAGUUGCUGCUGACCGGUGAAUCCUCCAACUUGCUCCACCAGAACAAAAGAAAUUGUGACAUUUGCAUUUUGGGAAGAAGUUUACUGUUGAAAGGGCUUGCACUUAAAUUGCAACUUUUCAUAACCCCAGUGUUCGAAAGAACAUAUAAUUUGGAUGUAUAAUCAUUGUUGAAAUGUACGUAAAGGGAAAAGACAACAGAAAUGUAAAGUCCACUGCUGUUCACUCUGCUCACCCACGACUGUGCUGCAACACACAGCUCAAACCACAUUAUCAAGUUCGCCAAUGACACGACUGCGGUGGGUCUCAUCAGCAAGAACAACGAGUCAGCAUACAGAGAGGAGGUGCAGCGGCUAACGGACUGGUGCAGAACCAACAACCUGUCUCUGAAUGUGAAAAAAACAAAAGAGAUGUUUGUUGACUUCAGGAGGGCAUGGAGCAACUACUCUCCACUGAACAUCCACAGCUCCUCGGUAGAGAUCGUUAAGAGCACCAAAUUUCUUGGUGUUCACCUGGUGGAGAAUCUCACCUGGUCCCUCAACACCAGCUCCAUAGCAAAAAAAGCCCAGCAGUGUCUCUACUUUCUGCAAAGGCUGAGGAAAGUCCAUCUCUCACUCCCCAUCCUCAUCACAUUCGACAGAGGUUGUAUUGAGAGCGUCCUGAGCAGCUGUAUCACUGCCUGGUUUGGAAAUUGCACCAUCUCAGAUCGCAAGACCCUGCAGCGGAUAGUGAGAUCAGCUGAGAAGAUCAUUGGGGUCUCUCUUCCCGCCAUUACGGAUAUUUACACUCCACAUUGCAUCCGCAAAGCAAACAGCAUUAUGAAGGACCCCACGCACCCCUCAUACAAAUUCUUCUCCCUCCUGCCAUCUGGGAAAAGGCACCGAAGCAUUCAGGCUCUCAAGACCAGACUAUGUAACAGUUUCAUCCCCCAAGCCAUCAAACUCCUUAAUACCCAGAGUCCGGACUCACAUCAACUUACUGUGCCUUGUUUAUUAUUUAUUGUAAUGCUACACUGUUUUGUGCACUUUAUGCAGACUGCAGGUCUGUAGUCUAGUGUAGUUUUUUCUGUGUUGUUUUUACAUAGUUCAGUGUAGUUUUUGUAUUGUUUCAUGUAACACCAUGGUCCUGAAAAACACUGUCUUGUUUUUACUGUGUACUGUACCAGC
This is a long non-coding RNA of Hypanus sabinus (Atlantic stingray), 2169 nucleotides long. RefSeq lists it as uncharacterized. The record is from RefSeq and is a predicted model, not a curated record. The transcript is spliced from 4 exons. Lineage: Eukaryota; Metazoa; Chordata; Chondrichthyes; Myliobatiformes; Dasyatidae.